Molecule: ribosomal RNA, 408 nt
Filed under: Chiloscyllium burmensis (Burmese bamboo shark)
Lineage: Eukaryota; Metazoa; Chordata; Chondrichthyes; Orectolobiformes; Hemiscylliidae
Description: partial large subunit ribosomal RNA
Rfam family: Bacterial large subunit ribosomal RNA
Source: RNAcentral
AUGAAGACCCGUAUGAAAGGCAUCACGAGAGUUUAACUGUCUCUACUUUCUAAUCAAUGAAAUUGAUCUCUCCGUGCAGAGGCGGAGAUAAAAACAUUAGACGAGAAGACCCUAUGGAGCUUCAAACACUUAAAUUAAUUAUGUAAAACAUAAUAUUCCAAGGAUAUAAAUAAAUAAUAUAAUAUUUCUAAUUUAAUAUGUUUUUGGUUGGGGUGACCAAGGAGAAAAAUUAAUCCUCCUAAUCGAUUGAGUAUUCAAUACUUAAAAAUCAGAAUGACUAUUCUGAAUGAUAAUAUAUUUAUCGAAAUAUGACCCAGGACUUACCUGAGCAAUGGACCAAGUUACCCUAGGGAUAACAGCGCAAUCCUUUCCCAGAGUCCUAUCGACGAAAGGGUUUAACACCUCGAA